AACGAACGCUGGCGGCAUGCCUAACACAUGCAAGUCGAACGAGACCUUCGGGUCUAGUGGCGCACGGGUGCGUAACGCGUGGGAACCUGCCCUUAGGUUCGGAAUAACUCCCCGAAAGGGGUGCUAAUACCGGAUAAUGUCUUCGGACCAAAGAUUUAUCGCCUUUGGAUGGGCCCGCGUUGGAUUAGCUAGUUGGUAGGGUAAAAGCCUACCAAGGCGACGAUCCAUAGCUGGUCUGAGAGGAUGAUCAGCCACACUGGGACUGAGACACGGCCCAGACUCCUACGGGAGGCAGCAGUGGGGAAUAUGGGACAAUGGGCGAAAGCCUGAUCCAGCAAUGCCGCGGGAGUGAUGAAGGCCUUAGGGUUGUAAAGCUCUUUUACCCGGGAUGAUAAUGACAGUACCGGGAGAAGAAGCGCCGGCUAACUCCGU
RNAcentral lists this ribosomal RNA (432 nucleotides) under uncultured bacterium. Its description in RNAcentral is "partial 16S ribosomal RNA". It matches the Rfam family "Bacterial small subunit ribosomal RNA", at positions 29 to 506 of the family's 1533-position model. The record is from RNAcentral.